UACGUAGGCAGCGAGCGUUGUUCGGAGUUACUGGGCGUAAAGAGUGCGUAGGCGGUUUUCUAAGUUUGGUGUGAAAUCUCCCGGCUCAACUGGGAGGGUGCGCCGAAGACUGGAAGGCUUGAGUAUGGGAGAGGUAAGCGGAAUUCCUGGUGUAGCGGUGAAAUGCGUAGAUAUCAGGAGGAACACCGGUGGCGAAGGCGGAUCUCUGGGCCUUACCUGACGCUGAGGCGCGAAAGCUAGGGGAGCGAACAGG
This 253-nucleotide ribosomal RNA is filed under the name uncultured bacterium. RNAcentral's name for it is "partial 16S ribosomal RNA". It matches the Rfam family "Bacterial small subunit ribosomal RNA", at positions 524 to 776 of the family's 1533-position model. The record is from RNAcentral.